UAGGGAAUCUUCCACAAUGGACGCAAGUCUGAUGGAGCAACGCCGCGUGAGUGAAGAAGGUUUUCGGAUCGUAAAGCUCUGUUGUUGGUGAAGAAGGAUAGAGGCAGUAACUGGUCUUUAUUUGACGGUAAUCAACCAGAAAAUCACGGCUAACUACGUGCCAGCAGCCGCGGUAAUACGUAGGUGGCAAGCGUUGUCCGGAUUUAUUGGGCGUAAAGCGAGCGCAGGCGGAAUGAUAAGUCUGAUGUGAAAGCCCACGGCUCAACCGUGGAACUGCAUCGGAAACUGUCAUUCUUGAGUGCAGAAGAGGAGAGUGGAAUUCCAUGUGUAGCGGUGGAAUGCGUAGAUAUAUGGAAGAACACCAGUGGCGAAGGCGGCUCUCUGGUCUGCAACUGACGCUGAGGCUCGAAAGCAUGGGUAGCGAACAGG
RNAcentral lists this ribosomal RNA (429 nucleotides) under bacterium. RNAcentral describes it as "partial 16S ribosomal RNA". It matches the Rfam family "Bacterial small subunit ribosomal RNA", at positions 355 to 776 of the family's 1533-position model. The record is from RNAcentral.